UGGGGAAUAUUGCGCAAUGGGGGGAGCCCUGACGCAGCCAUGCCGCGUGAAUGAAGAAGGCCUUAGGGUUGUAAAGUUCUUUCGGUAUUGAGGAAGGUUGAUGUGUUAAUAGCACAUCAAAUUGACGUUAAAUACAGAAGAAGCACCGGCUAACUCCGUGCCAGCAGCCGCGGUAAUACGGAGGGUGCGAGCGUUAAUCGGAAUAACUGGGCGUAAAGGGCACGCAGGCGGUUAUUUAAGUGAGGUGUGAAAGCCCCGGGCUUAACCUGGGAAUUGCAUUUCAGACUGGGUAACUAGAGUACUUUAGGGAGGGGUAGAAUUCCACGUGUAGCGGUGAAAUGCGUAGAGAUGUGGAGGAAUACCGAAGGCGAAGGCAGCCCCUUGGGAAUGUACUGACGCUCAUGUGCGAAAGCGUGGGGAGCAAACAGGAUUAGAUACCCUGGUAGUCCACGCUGUAAACGCUGUCGAUUUGGGGGUUGGGGUUUAACUCUGGCGCCCGUAGCUAACGUGAUAAAUCGACCGCCUGGGGAGUACGGCCGCAAGGUUA
RNAcentral lists this ribosomal RNA (547 nucleotides) under uncultured bacterium. Its description in RNAcentral is "bacterial SSU rRNA". It matches the Rfam family "Bacterial small subunit ribosomal RNA", at positions 355 to 896 of the family's 1533-position model. The record is from RNAcentral.